Molecule: ribosomal RNA, 400 nt
Filed under: uncultured bacterium
Lineage: Bacteria
Description: bacterial SSU rRNA
Rfam family: Bacterial small subunit ribosomal RNA
Source: RNAcentral
UGAGGAAUAUUGGUCAAUGGGGGCAACCCUGAACCAGCCAUGCCGCGUGAAGGAAGAAGGCCCUAAGGGUUGUAAACUUCUUUUGUACGGGGGUAAUUUACAGAUCGUGAUCUGUAUUGAAAGUACUGUACGAAUAAGCGUCGGCUAACUACGUGCCAGCAGCCGCGGUAAUACGUAGGACGCAAGCGUUAUCCGGAUUCAUUGGGUUUAAAGGGUGCGUAGGCGGGCCUUUAAGUCAGUGGUGAAAGUUUGCCGCUUAACGGUAAGAUUGCCAUUGAUACUGGAGGCCUUGAGUGCAGAUGAGGUAGGCGGAAUGUGUAGUGUAGUGGUGAAAUACUUAGAUAUUACACAGAACACCGAUUGCGAAGGCAGCUUACUAAAUUGCAACUGACGCUGAGGC